RNAcentral lists this ribosomal RNA (447 nucleotides) under uncultured bacterium. Its description in RNAcentral is "bacterial SSU rRNA". It matches the Rfam family "Bacterial small subunit ribosomal RNA", at positions 29 to 524 of the family's 1533-position model. The record is from RNAcentral.
AACGAACGCUGGCGGCAUGCCUAACACAUGCAAGUCGAACGAGACCUUCGGGUCUAGUGGCGCACGGGUGCGUAACGCGUGGGAAUCUGCCCUUGGGUUCGGAAUAACAGUUAGAAAUGACUGCUAAUACCGGAUGAUGUCUUCGGACCAAAGAUUUAUCGCCCAGGGAUGAGCCCGCGUAGGAUUAGCUAGUUGGUGGGGUAAAGGCCUACCAAGGCGACGAUCCUUAGCUGGUCUGAGAGGAUGAUCAGCCACACUGGGACUGAGACACGGCCCAGACUCCUACGGGAGGCAGCAGUGGGGAAUAUUGGACAAUGGGCGAAAGCCUGAUCCAGCAAUGCCGCGUGAGUGAUGAAGGCCUUAGGGUUGUAAAGCUCUUUACCGGGAUGAUAAUGACAGUACCGGGAGAAUAAGCCCGGCUAACUCCGUGCCAGCAGCCGCGGUAAU